This 456-nucleotide long non-coding RNA is filed under the name Lonchura striata (white-rumped munia). Its description in RNAcentral is "domestica (Bengalese finch) lncRNA (ENSLSDG00000016590.1)". The record is from RNAcentral. Lineage: Eukaryota; Metazoa; Chordata; Aves; Passeriformes; Estrildidae.
AAAAGAUUUUUUUUUUGUUUUGUUAAUAUGUCAUUCACGUAGCAUAUUAAUAUAAACAAUGUUCUGUUUUCAGUAUUUUACAGGCCAGCCAGGGAAGUAACUGAAUACACUUCCUUGGAGAAAGAAUAGAAGGCUCAGAAGAUGUCCAAAUCUGGUGCACCCCUGCUGCAUCAGGCAUAUUGUUCUAGGCUGCUGUGCAAAUGUGGCUGCCAGGUGUGCAGCGGAAUGUCCCUAAUCUGAAAGCUGCUACACUGACUGCCUAUCAACAUGCAAAUUAAUCAUCAAGUGACGAGUCCCAUAUUCGCUCAAAGUAAAAGUCUUUAAAGGGAUUUGUGAAAAAAAAAAAAAAAAAAAAGGAGGGGGGGAAGUAAAAAAGCUUUUUUUUUUUUUUGGCUUUGUUUAUUUGUUUUUCUGAUGCAGUUGCUGGUAUGGGGAGCAAACAAUGGGUUUUGAAUC